UACGUAGGUGGCUAGCGUUGUCCGGAUUUACUGGGCGUAAAGAGCGCGCAGGCGGUCGUUCAAGUCGAGUGUGAAAGCCCCCGGCUCAACUGGGGAGGGUCACUCGAUACUGAUCGACUCGAAGGCAGGAGAGGGAAGCGGAAUUCCCGGUGUAGUGGUGGAAUGCGUAGAUAUCGGGAGGAACACCAGUGGCGAAGGCGGUUGCCUGGGGCUUUGCUGACGCUGAGACGCGAAAGCGUGGGGAGCAAACAGG
This 253-nucleotide ribosomal RNA is filed under the name uncultured bacterium. Its description in RNAcentral is "partial 16S ribosomal RNA". It matches the Rfam family "Bacterial small subunit ribosomal RNA", at positions 524 to 776 of the family's 1533-position model. The record is from RNAcentral.